Molecule: long non-coding RNA, 878 nt
Filed under: Marmota monax (woodchuck)
Lineage: Eukaryota; Metazoa; Chordata; Mammalia; Rodentia; Sciuridae
Source: RNAcentral
UAGCUACUAAAAGAAAUGGGCUAGAAUAUAUAUAUAUAUAUUUCAACUUAGAGCUCAAAAACAAUGAUGUUUAGAAAAAUGCAGACGGGCACUAGCAGUGUGACACUAUUAUAUAUGCUUUACAAUAAACACAUGAAACAAUAGUAUAAUUUGUUUAUGAAAACAUAUGUGUUCGUAUAAAUGUAUAAAUAGUGGAUUGGAAUCCAGACCUUUGAUGGUGCUCACCAGAAUGGGAGUGAGAGCAGAUGGAUUAGGGUUGAAACAUUACAGAGAUUCCAACUUUAUAAUGCUUUUUAAAAAUUAUUCUUCAUCUUGAAACAAAUACGACAAAAUGUUGACAAUUUUAAUUUCUGGGGGGUGGGUCCAUGAAUAUUUGUUAGAUUGUUCUCUUUAAAUUUUGAUAAUUUUUUUUCAAACUAAAAGUCUGAUAAGAGUGAUUUAUCCAUUGUGUACCAAGAACUUCUGCUUUCUGAAUGGCUUCUGUAACCAGCUCCAAUCAGAAUAAGCUUGUUUCCAGAACACAGAAAGGCCCUUAUGGAUGGUUUUAAGUCUACUGAUCUGUCUGAGGAUUGAUUCCUGGCUGUCGCCUUGCUCUCCACACAUAAAAAGUAAAAUGUUGACCAGUUUCCUGUAUAUGGAAAAUACAUGUGCAUGUGAAAAUUCUGAACGGUGCUGCCAAAUACAAGUAUAUGAAACAAUGAAUUACUCAAACCAUUUUAAUACAAUUUUUACCUUAUUCCAUACGUAUUUAUUGUGUACACUACAUGUGUGGUGUGGUAUUGCUUAGACCUGUGCAAACUAUCAACAGCUGUUCAUUCAGUGGCAGAGACGAUGCCAUCUUGCAUUGGAUUAGAAAGAAUAAAUGACUAUGAUCUUUC